AGUGAACGCUGGCGGCGUGCUUAACACAUGCAAGUCGAACGAGAACGGAUUAUAGCUUGCUAUAAUUGUCAGCUAAGUGGCGCACGGGUGAGUAAUGUAUAGGUAAUAUGCCUCUUACUAAGGGAUAACAAAUGGAAACGUUUGCUAAUACCUUAUACUCCUUAUUAACAGAAGUUAAUUAGGGACAGAUUUAUUGGUAAGAGAUUAGCCUGUAUUGUAUCAGUUAGUUGGUGGGGUAAUGGCUUACCAAGACUAUGAAACAUAACUGGUUUGAGAGGAUGAUCAGUAACACUGGAACUGAGACACGGUCCAGACUCCUACGGGAGGCAGCAGUGGGGAAUAUUGCACAAUGGACGAAAGUCUGAUGCAGCAACGCCGCGUGGAGGAUGACACAUUUCGGUGCGUAGACUCCUUUUAUAUGAGAAGAUAAUGACGGUAUUAUAUGAAUAAGCACCGGCUAACUCCGUGCCAGCCGCCGCAGUAA
RNAcentral lists this ribosomal RNA (484 nucleotides) under uncultured bacterium. RNAcentral's name for it is "partial 16S ribosomal RNA". It matches the Rfam family "Bacterial small subunit ribosomal RNA", at positions 29 to 523 of the family's 1533-position model. The record is from RNAcentral.